UACGGGGGGGGCAAGCGUUGUUCGGAAUUACUGGGCGUAAAGGGCCAGUAGGCGGCCAACUAAGUCGGAUGUGAAAUCCCCAGGCUCAACUUGGGAACUGCAUCCGAUACUGGAUGGCUUGAAUUCGGGAGAGGGAUGCAGAAUUCCGGGUGUAGCGGUGAAAUGCGUAGAUAUCUGGAGGAAUACCGGUGGCGAAGGCGGCAUCCUGGACCGACAUUGACGCUGAACGGCGAAAGCUAGGGGAGCAAACGGG
RNAcentral lists this ribosomal RNA (253 nucleotides) under uncultured bacterium. RNAcentral's name for it is "partial 16S ribosomal RNA". It matches the Rfam family "Bacterial small subunit ribosomal RNA", at positions 524 to 776 of the family's 1533-position model. The record is from RNAcentral.